Molecule: long non-coding RNA, 353 nt
Organism: Bubalus bubalis (water buffalo)
Lineage: Eukaryota; Metazoa; Chordata; Mammalia; Artiodactyla; Bovidae
Exons: 2
Source: RefSeq, a predicted model, not a curated record
AUCUAAGCAUAUUUUGUAUUCACAAAUCAGUUCCUUAGAGGAAAUUCCCUUUAUGGGUAGAUGGCAAUACUUUAAAGAUAAUUACCGUUAAAAACCAUAAGGCUUAUAAUUGUUACUCAUCAAAUUGAUUCUGACUCAUUUGAAGAACUGACUUAUUGGAAAAGAUCCUGAUGCUGGGAAGGAUUGAAGUCGGGAGGAGAAGGGGAUGACAGAGGAUGAGAUGGUUGGAUGGCAUCACCGACUCGAUGGACAUGAGUUUGAACAAGAUGACCAGCCAGCGUGAAGGAGCCCAUGCUUUUGACAGUUCUCGUUUCAAAUAAAUGCAAUAAAAUCUUGAUGAAAUAGAAACCAAA